Molecule: ribosomal RNA, 407 nt
Filed under: Berryteuthis magister
Lineage: Eukaryota; Metazoa; Mollusca; Cephalopoda; Oegopsida; Gonatidae
Description: partial 12S rRNA
Source: RNAcentral
CUAUUAUUCCUUAUUUUAAAAAAUUUAUUACUUAAGUAGUAUAAAUAUAAAUGGUAUAUUUAGUUUAUAUAUGUGUUUGAAACUUAAAAGGCUUGGCGGUGUUAUACAUCCUUCCAGGGGAGUUUGCUUACUAAUUUGAUAAUCCUCAAUUUAUACUUACUUUUUUUGAAAUAACAGUUUGUGUAUUGCUGUCGUCAGUUUAUUUUGUAAAAAUUUUGGAAAAAACUUAAUAACGUAAUGGUUGUUAUGUCAAGUCAAAAUGCAGCUAAUGAAAAAGGUUUAAAGUGAGCUACAAUUUAUAAUUUUUAAUCAGAUUAGUUUAUGUAAUUGAAUUAUGAAGAUGGACUUGGUAGUAAUAAAAACAAAUUUAAAUAGUGGGUUUUUAUGAAUUAGGUUUUAUAAUGCGU